UACGUAGGGUGCGAGCGUUGUCCGGAAUUAUUGGGCGUAAAGAGCUCGUAGGCGGUGUGUCGCGUCGGCCGUGAAAACCUGCAGCUUAACUGUGGGCUUGCGGUCGAUACGGGCAUCACUGGAGUUCGGCAGGGGAGACUGGAAUUCCUGGUGUAGCGGUGAAAUGCGCAGAUAUCAGGAAGAACACCUAUGGCGAAAGCAGCUCUCUGGGACGGUACUGACGCUGAGACGCGAAAGCGUGGGGAGCGAACAGG
This 254-nucleotide ribosomal RNA is filed under the name uncultured bacterium. Its description in RNAcentral is "partial 16S ribosomal RNA". It matches the Rfam family "Bacterial small subunit ribosomal RNA", at positions 524 to 776 of the family's 1533-position model. The record is from RNAcentral.